GCUGAAGCUGAAACUCCAGUACUUUGGUCACCUCAUGCGAAGAACUGACUCAUUGGAAAAGACCCUUAUGCUGGGCAAGAUUGAAGGUGGGAGGAGAAGGGGAUGACAGAGGAUGAGAUGGUAGGAUGGCAUCACUGACUUGAUGGACAUGAGUUUGAGUGAGUUCUGGGAGUUGGUGAUGGACAGGGAGGCCUGGCGUGCUGCAGUCCAUGGGGGUCACGAAGAGUCAGACACGACUGAGCAACUCAGCUGAACUGAAUACCUUUGUUGCUCUUCCUGGCAUGCCAGAACCUGUGUAUUUACCAUCUGGGAUUUGCUGAAACCCCACUUAGGUAAACUGUCUUUUUAAGAAGACUGAAACAUGCAGAGGUACAGACAUUUUUAAGCAUUGGGAGAAUAUUUUGGAGUUUCCCAAGCCUAUCUAAAUGACCAUAUUCAAACAUGAAGAGCUGCUGACAGUUUAAAAAAUGAAUUUAUGUUCAUUUUUUUGGUGGAAAUUGUUCAUAUUUCUCUUUUACAUGCAGCGCUACAGAAUCAUGCUGAGAUUUUUACAACAGUCUCCACUGAUGGAACACCCAAGAAGUGAGAAUUUAAAAAAGUUUACCAAUCCAGAAAAUCCUGCCCCAAUAUCCUCCCCACCAGGACUAACGAAGUUGCUACCAUCCAAGCUGCCUUCAAAGAACCAAAUGCAGGUUCCAUGCUUGCAGGGGACAAAAACCAACACUAAAAAAAGACCUUUGGGAUGAUACCAGUGGACUAAUCUCACAGAUUCUGACUUAUUUCCAAUUGCCUAGAAAUUAAAAAAGGAAAAACUAUAGUAGUGAUAUAGUUCUGAAAAUAAGUGAGUUUGUGGACAGGUUGAACGACUCACUGUCAGUAACCAUGUAGGAUUUUGUACACGUACCCCCUCACUCCCUUUCUCCUGCUAUUUCUCCACUCUUCCAGCAGGUGGCACUACAGUCACAGAACAAACAUUCCACAGCAGGGUAUGUAACUUUAUUUUUCUACCAUAAUAAUUUAAAGUAUUUACACACUGCACACUCACUGUUUUACACAGAUACUUAUUCAUAUACCUAUGAACCACAUCUAAAGGUUUCUUUGUAAAGACUCGACACACUGUGGGGGUUUCCGAGCGUAACAAAGAGAAGGGAAGGACAAAAAAAGUUUUGAGUCUUCAGACAGCCAUGUGGUGCAUCUGUGAAAACCAGUGUGUUCCCACAAGAUUAAGCUCCCCCAGAAGACGUCCUACCUAACGUGUGAGUAUGACCCAAAACGCUUCUGGUUAAGGGGGGGAUUUCAAAAACCAACAUGUGCAAGGAACAUUUUUCUUUUUCCUCCCCAGACAUUCUAUCAAAGAAACAGAAGAAAAUAAACCAGGCCCUUCUCUAGAGAAAUACCUGUAUUUCUGAAACAGUUAUCCAUGGGGAAGACUUCAGAGUCAUAGAGAGACACUGACUGCAAAGGGAAAACAGCCAAAUCCACUGGUACUAAGAGACGUGAUGCAACCUUUCCAGGUAAAUGAUGCAGCAAAAAAAACCCAGUUUCCUCUUCCCAGGUAUUUGGAGAGGCAGUUGUUUUGCUUUUGCUGAAAAGGACACAGGUAUGUUACAUCAUGUACACACUAAACCCAGACAUCGUAGAAAACCUCUACCGCUUUCCACUUUUAGACUAUUUGCACAAAAAUAGUGGUUAGAGGUACCCUAAAUAUUUUUCCUCCUGCAUUCUACUCGGUUACAUAACAGAAGUACUAGCUAACUACAGCUUCUGACCUGGGCACGUGAUUCCAUAAGGGAACAAGAGCAGUCACCGUUCAGAGCUGAUGGCAGGCAGGCCCCCGUUCGGCUUUGAUACAAGGAUAACAGGUUUGGGUUCAGCUCUCUGGCGCUGCAUCUUUGCCCAGUAAGAGGCAGGAUGCCUCUGGGAUUUUCCCAGACUGGCCAAUAUCAUUCUCUCGUACAUUGGAAGAUGGGCUAGAGAGAAGCUUUGCCACCUCUGGUGAGUCGACAGCUCCAUGCUGUGACCAACAGAUCAGUUCACAAAGAAACAGAACUUUCACGAAGCGACAUCCUCUUUGCUACCAGUCUGGUAGUGCCACUCAUCAAAAGGAAGAAAUUAACCCAGCCAACUAAAACUACGCACAACCUUGACCCAAAUCUCUGUGGCCUUUCAAGUUCACCGUCUGUUUGCAUUUACGUAAAUGACUCAAGUACAAACUCUACCACUAAUUCUUAGAACCAGAUAUUUACAUUUUAGGUAUAACAAUAGAAACCUACCUAUCCUGGAGUUCAUGUUCUCAGCUACUGCUCUUGCCUUUGGAUGGUGGUGGUUUCCUUUUUUCAAGAGGUGCCAACAACGAUGGAAUGCAAGAAGGAAGGAGUUGCUCGUGUAGCUCAGUGAAAUCACUAUCAAGUUACACGAGCAACUAAUAGUCAACCUACGCAUAUUAAGAGGGAAAGUGACUACAUGGAGAGGCCACGUGGGGAGCCUGGCCAAUGGGAAUGACCAACCAGCACCCAGUCAAGCUGCAUACAGGGUCAGGCCAAGGAAAAACGUCUGUUGUCAGGACCCCAGUCCAUCCCAUCACACACACAGACGCAAAGUGGGAGACUGGGGAAGACCACGGUGUGGGAGACAAGGAAGAGGAAAUCUUUGUGAUGGGGUCUGGGUCUUCACAUGAAAGAAUCUAAUACACCCCAGAGCCUGGGCUCCCGGGCUCCAACACUGAGCCUGGGGAGGGCUUACUGGGUGUGGACAUGGUGAGUACAAGUCCAGACAGCCAGAGAGGAGGCGGCUGAGAACGCGGGCUUGUACAAAUCACAGAGGGAAGAGCAAGGCACGAUCGCUGCACUUACAGGUUUGCACUUUCUUUGUUCAAUGUAGAAUGGAGUUAAAAGAGGAAAAGUGACAGUUUGAACAGGGAAUGAGGAUGACAAAAGUCUGAGAGGGCUCUUGCAAGAUGCCUGGUAUCUCCUUACCCAUUGCCAUCUGGAGCCCCUCCUGACCUAGAAAACAGCAGUUUCAUACGUUUAACCUACCUCGCUCUAAGCGCUCAGAUGUAUCAAUCCUAGUUAAUAAGAACUGUGCUAACAUUCUCCCCACCCUCUGAAAACAAUUGGCAGCUGUCCAAGAGGGAGAGGGCUUCCCAGAAUCAGUGUUUAACAGCCAAAAACACCUGUCGUGGGGUGGGGUGGGGCGGUUAACAAUCCUUCCACGUGGGUGAGGGCAGGAGAAGCGGGCAAGGACCUAGUUCCAAGGAACGAGGCAGUGGCACCAGGAGGGCAGCAGUUGAAAGCUGGGCACGCAGCGAUGGCCAAGGCUGUAGGCCGUGAGGGCACCGCCAGCAAGAGCUGCAAACAAGGUCACCGGUCCUCUUCCAAGGGCGCGCCGCAUACGGUGUCUGUGCGCGUGUACUAUAUACGUACUGACCAGGUACACACAUAAAUAUUUAAUAUAUAAAAAAUAAAGUGCUUUCUAACAGGUCCCCGGGCAGGGACGUUAUAAAACAUUUCACAAAACUGCAAAAAAAAAAAAAAAAGGUAACGGUCCAAGAACACUACAUCCAACAUUAUGUGGAACAUAGCCAAGCGAUAUGUACAAAUCAGGUGGGCAUCCGGGACACACGCAUCCUGUCAUAUACAUGGUAUAUACAUAUAUACUCUUUUUACUCAAUAUAUUAUGACAAUAUAUAUUUUUUAAAAAUUUUGUUAUAGACAGGAGAAACGGAACAGAAGAAAAAAAAAAACAAAAAAACGAAAAAGAUAAUCCCCUACAAAAACACAACUAGGAUCAAGCAUGUGAGUCCCAGACUGACAGACGACAGGGGGCGUCCACGGGGAGCCCCGCGGCACUGCUCGGGAAAAUAUGCCAGCGUUCCUUCCUGGGUGUGGACAUGGUGAGUACAAGUCCAGACAGCCAGAGAGGAGGCGGCUGAGAACGCGGGCUUGUACAAAUCACAGAGGGAAGAGCAAGGCACGAUCGCUGCACUUACAGGUUUGCACUUUCUUUGUUCAAUGUAGAAUGGAGUUAAAAGAGGGAAAAGUGACAGUUUGAACAGGGAAUGAGGGAUGACAAAAGUCUGAGAGGGCUCUUGCAAGAUGCCUGGUAUCUCCUUACCCAUUGCCAUCUGGAGCCCCUCCUGACCUAGAAAAACAGCAGUUUCAUACGUUUAACCUACCUCGCUCUAAGCGCUCAGAUGUAUCAAUCCUAGUUAAUAAGAACUGUGCUAACAUUCUCCCCACCCUCUGAAAACAAUUGGCAGCUGUCCAAGAGGGAGAGGGCUUCCCAGAAUCAGUGUUUAACAGCCAAAAACACCUGUCGUGGGGUGGGGUGGGGCGGUUAACAAUCCUUCCACGUGGAGUGAGGGCAGGAGAAGCGGGCAAGGACCUAGUUCCAAGGAACGAGGCAGUGGCACCAGGAGGGCAGCAGUUGAAAGCUGGGCACGCAGCGAUGGCCAAGGCUGUAGGCCGUGAGGGCACCGCCAGCAAGAGCUGCAAACAAGGUCACCGGUCCUCUUCCAAGGGCGCGCCGCAUACGGUGUCUGUGCGCGUGUACUAUAUACGUACUGACCAGGUACACACAUAAAUAUUUAAUAUAUAAAAAUAAAGUGCUUUCUAACAGGUCCCGGGCAGGGACGUUAUAAAACAUUUCACAAAACUGCAAAAAAAAAAAAAAAAGGUAACGGUCCAAGAACACUACAUCCAACAUUAUGUGGAACAUAGCCAAACGCGAUAUGUACAAAUCAGGUGGGCAUCCCGGGACACACGCAUCCUGUCAUAUACAUGGUAUAUACAUAUAUACUCUUUUUACUCAAUAUAUUAUGACAAUAUAUAUUUUUUAAAAAUUUUGUUAUAGACAGGAGAAACGGAACAGAAGAAAAAAAAAAACAAA
This is a long non-coding RNA of Bos grunniens (domestic yak), 4887 nucleotides long. Lineage: Eukaryota; Metazoa; Chordata; Mammalia; Artiodactyla; Bovidae. The record is from Ensembl.